AACGCGAAGAACCUUACCCAGACUUGACAUACAGUAGACAGUCGCAGAAAUGCGAUCUUCCUUCGGGACUGCUGAACAGGUGCUGCAUGGCUGUCGUCAGCUCGUGCCGUGAGGUGUUGGGUUAAGUCCCGCAACGAGCGCAACCCUUAUCAUUAGUUGCCAACAUUUAAGGUGGGAACUCUAAUGAGACUGCCUGGGUUAACCAGGAGGAAGGUGAGGAUGACGUCAAGUCCGCAUGGCCCUUAUGUCUGGGGCUACACACGUGCUACAAUGGUCGGUACAAAAGGCAGCGAAACCGCGAGGUGAAGCAAAUCCCGAAAGCCGGCCCCAGUUCAGAUUGUAGUCUGCAACUCGACUACAUGAAGACGGAAUUGCUAGUAAUGGCGAGUCAGCAACAUCGCCGUGAAUACGUUCCCGGGCCUUGUACACACCGCGAGC
Molecule: ribosomal RNA, 438 nt
Filed under: uncultured bacterium
Lineage: Bacteria
Description: bacterial SSU rRNA
Rfam family: Bacterial small subunit ribosomal RNA
Source: RNAcentral